This 497-nucleotide ribosomal RNA is filed under the name uncultured bacterium. RNAcentral describes it as "partial 16S ribosomal RNA". It matches the Rfam family "Bacterial small subunit ribosomal RNA", at positions 28 to 507 of the family's 1533-position model. The record is from RNAcentral.
GAUGAACGCUGGCGGCGUGCCUAAUACACGCAAGUCGAGCGAACAGACGAGGAGCUUGCUCCUCUGACGUUAGCGGCGGACGGGUGAGAAACACGUGGAUAACCUACCUAUAAGACUGGGAUAACUUCGGGAAACCGGAGCUAAUACCGGAUAAUAUAUUGAACCGCAUGGUUCAAUAGUGAAAGACGGUUUUGCUGUCACUUAUAGAUGGAUCCGCGCCGCAUUAGCUAGUUGGUAAGGUAACGGCUUACCAAGGCAACGAUGCGUAGCCGACCUGAGAGGGUGAUCGGCCACACUGGAACUGAGACACGGUCCAGACUCCUACGGGAGGCAGCAGUAGGGAAUCUUCCGCAAUGGGCGAAAGCCUGACGGAGCAACGCCGCGUGAGUGAUGAAGGUCUUCGGAUCGUAAAACUCUGUUAUUAGGGAAGAACAAAUGUGUAAGUAACUAUGCACGUCUUGACGGUACCUAAUCAGAAAGCCACGGCUAACUACGUG